This 460-nucleotide ribosomal RNA is filed under the name uncultured bacterium. RNAcentral describes it as "partial 16S ribosomal RNA". It matches the Rfam family "Bacterial small subunit ribosomal RNA", at positions 338 to 795 of the family's 1533-position model. The record is from RNAcentral.
CCUACGGGAGGCUGCAGUGAGGAAUAUUGGUCAAUGGACGAGAGUCUGAACCAGCCAAGUAGCGUGAAGGAUGACUGCCCUAUGGGUUGUAAACUUCUUUUAUAUGGGAAUAAAACGUUCCACGUGUGGGAUUUUGUAUGUACCAUAUGAAUAAGGAUCGGCUAACUCCGUGCCAGCAGCCGCGGUAAUACGGAGGAUCCGAGCGUCAUCCGGAUUUAUUGGGUUUAAAGGGAGCGUAGGUGGAUUGUUAAGUCAGUUGUGAAAGUUUGCGGCUCAACCGUAAAAUUGCAGUUGAAACUGGCAGUCUUGAGUACAGUAGAGGUGGGCGGAAUUCGUGGUGUAGCGGUGAAAUGCUUAGAUAUCACGAAGAACUCCGAUUGCGAAGGCAGUUCACUGGACUGCAACUGACACUGAGGCUCGAAAGUGUGGGUAUCAAACAGGAUUAGAUACCCGUGUAGUC